UAAUUUUAUAAAGCUCCAGCUGUUGACCAGCACUAUCAGUCAGUGUCAACUGUCAUUUCUUAAUUACUGUACAUAGUUAAUUUGUUUUUCUAAUUUGUUUGAAAGCACGGAGAUAAGUGCCAUUUAUGUCAUCAGUGCUGUUGUGAUAUUUUUUUAACAGCAGAAUUAUUCUAAAACCUUUUUUUAUAGUACUGCUCUAGUGUCGUCGUGUGACAUUUCCGGCCAUCUGUGUUUGACAUAACCUACAAAAUAAGUACAGCUUUUGCUUGUUUGCAUAGGGUUUGAUUUGAUUGCAAUAACGUUGUUUAAUUAUUUAUUAAAAGUAUGAUUGAUGAUCCCAUAAAAGAGAGAGAGUAGUCCAAAAACUCAACGAAGAAUUUGGAAAUGAUGUCAAAAAUUUAUCAAAAUGUGAAUCGUUACUGAGUAAAUUUUCUAAAGAGAAAGAAACUAUUGAAAAAGAGAUAGUGAAAGCACGUGAAAAUGUUUCUUCACCUGAUGCUGUCCAUGAAGUCGAUGGCAUAUCUCACACAGUUGAUGAGAUUACAGAAAAUUUUAAUAAACUAUGUGCCACUGUCAAGGAAAAAGAUACCAGUAGUAGUAAAACAUUUAGUGAACUGCAGGUGAAAAUUAAGAAAAUACAACAGUUAGAACAAGGGGUCUCUUAUCUGCGAUGUGUACGCUCCAUUCAAGAUCUGAGUUCUAAUAUGGAAAUGUACUUGGCGUCACGAAGUGAGGCAGAAGCAAUAGCGGAAUUCGGUGUCCUGUGUGAAAUGUGUGCUCGCCUUCAUACCUCCAAAUGCAGCCAUCUUUACCACCUAUCUGAGUGACACG
Molecule: long non-coding RNA, 831 nt
Organism: Homalodisca vitripennis (glassy-winged sharpshooter)
Lineage: Eukaryota; Metazoa; Arthropoda; Insecta; Hemiptera; Cicadellidae
Exons: 3
Source: RefSeq, a predicted model, not a curated record